This 372-nucleotide ribosomal RNA is filed under the name uncultured bacterium. RNAcentral's name for it is "bacterial SSU rRNA". It matches the Rfam family "Bacterial small subunit ribosomal RNA", at positions 527 to 896 of the family's 1533-position model. The record is from RNAcentral.
GUAGGGUGCAAGCGUUGUCCGGAAUUAUUGGGCGUAAAGAGCUCGUAGGCGGUCUGUCGCGUCGGCUGUGAAAACUCGGGGCUCAACCCCGAGCCUGCAGUCGAUACGGGCAGACUAGAGUGCUGUAGGGGAGACUGGAAUUCCUGGUGUAGCGGUGAAAUGCGCAGAUAUCAGGAGGAACACCGGUGGCGAAGGCGGGUCUCUGGGCAGUAACUGACGCUGAGGAGCGAAAGCGUGGGGAGCGAACAGGAUUAGAUACCCUGGUAGUCCACGCCGUAAACGGUGGGUGCUAGGUGUGAGCGGUAUUCCACGCCGUUCGUGCCGCAGCUAACGCAUUAAGCACCCCGCCUGGGGAGUACGGCCGCAAGGCUA